GCAGCCGCCGCGGUAAUACGGAGGGGGCUAGCGUUGUUCGGAAUUACUGGGCGUAAAGCGCACGUAGGCGGCUUUGUAAGUUAGAGGUGAAAGCCCGGAGCUCAACUCCGGAAUUGCCUUUAAGACUGCAGAGCUAGCAGGUGAGAGAGGUGUGUGGAAUUCCGAGUGUAGAGGUGAAAUUCGUAGAUAUUCGGAAGAACACCAGUGGCGAAGGCGGCUCACUGGCUCAUACUGGACGCUGAGGUGCGAAAGCGUGGGGAGCAAACAGGAUUAGAUACCCGCGUAGUCCCUGUCUCUUAUCA
Molecule: ribosomal RNA, 302 nt
Filed under: uncultured bacterium
Lineage: Bacteria
Description: partial 16S ribosomal RNA
Rfam family: Bacterial small subunit ribosomal RNA
Source: RNAcentral